GUGACCUCAAAUCAGGUAGGACUACCCGCUGAACUAAGCAUAUCAUAAGCGGAGGAAAAGAACU
Molecule: ribosomal RNA, 64 nt
Filed under: uncultured Dermocybe
Lineage: Eukaryota; Fungi; Basidiomycota; Agaricomycetes; Agaricales; Cortinariaceae
Description: partial 28S ribosomal RNA
Source: RNAcentral